UCCAGCUUCUUCCCAGAGCUUUGUGGAGUCGCCGUUAUGCGCGCGGGAAGAAAAUGAAUUCCCGGACUUUGGCAUCUUCCACCCGAGGAGUUCCAAUUCGACCAGGUUCCCCCUCACCUGCGCGCCCUGCACUGGAGACCCUGGGCAAAUGAGGAAGAGGUGGCUCCAGGUGGCGGAUGGAGUUGGGGAUGGGGGUGCGUCCCCGCCCAGAGGCGGGAGCCGGCCCGGAAGGCGGGGCCGAGAGCUGCGGAGGGCUCCCGUGCCAAGUUCAGAGCCGCUGGCUCGCUGCUGGAGAACAGUCUAGCCUUCUAGGUCGACUUUCCGUUUGGCAUCCGUCCUUGCUUCGCUCCGUUUGCGGUGUGGCUCCCUGGUCUCCCACAGGGCCUGUGCUGGGGCCGCCCGUGUGUUUAGGCCAAGGGAUGCCUGAACAUCAAGUUCAUCUCCUUUUUUAGGAAAAUCAACCCUUGUGUGUCUAAGUAUGUAUCCAAGGCAACUUUUAAAAAUUAAUGUAGAUGUGGAAUUCAAAGUCAAAUUUAUUUUUUCCAGAAAAUUUUGAGGGAUUGAACAUUUUGUGUGGUACAUCAGUCACCCAUAU
Molecule: long non-coding RNA, 595 nt
Organism: Ochotona princeps (American pika)
Lineage: Eukaryota; Metazoa; Chordata; Mammalia; Lagomorpha; Ochotonidae
Exons: 3
Source: RefSeq, a predicted model, not a curated record